This 63-nucleotide transfer RNA is filed under the name Acidovorax sp. Root217. RNAcentral's name for it is "tRNA-Ser". It matches the Rfam family "tRNA", at positions 15 to 71 of the family's 71-position model. Rfam says of the family: Transfer RNA (tRNA) molecules are approximately 80 nucleotides in length. Their secondary structure includes four short double-helical elements and three loops (D, anti-codon, and T loops). The record is from RNAcentral. RNAcentral also lists the same sequence under 1 other name. Lineage: Bacteria; Pseudomonadati; Pseudomonadota; Betaproteobacteria; Burkholderiales; Comamonadaceae.
GUUGGUUAGAAUACCGGCCUGUCACGCCGGGGGUCGCGGGUUCGAGUCCCGUCCACUCCGCCA